UGACGAUUAGCUCAGAUGGUAGAGCGUAUGCACUUUUAAUGCGCAAGGCGCAGGUUCGAGCCCUGCAUCGUCAG
This 74-nucleotide transfer RNA is filed under the name Listeria grandensis. RNAcentral's name for it is "tRNA-Lys". It matches the Rfam family "tRNA". From Rfam's summary of the family: Transfer RNA (tRNA) molecules are approximately 80 nucleotides in length. Their secondary structure includes four short double-helical elements and three loops (D, anti-codon, and T loops). RNAcentral also lists the same sequence under 1 other name. The record is from RNAcentral. Lineage: Bacteria; Bacillati; Bacillota; Bacilli; Caryophanales; Listeriaceae.